Molecule: ribosomal RNA, 442 nt
Filed under: Euchirella bitumida
Lineage: Eukaryota; Metazoa; Arthropoda; Copepoda; Calanoida; Aetideidae
Description: partial 12S ribosomal RNA
Source: RNAcentral
UAAAAGAAUAAAUUAUAUAUACAUAUUUAAUAAAUUAAUUUUAAAUUUUUAAAAUGGUUGUGAAAAUUUAAAGAUUUAGAAUUAAUAAAAAUUUUUUAAAUAUUUUAAAAACUAGGGUUAGAUGCCUAUUAUUUUUAUCAUAUAAUUUUAAGUAUUAAAUAUUAAAAUAUGAAACUUAAAUUACAUGGCAGUAUUUUACUCCCUGCAGAGGAAUUUGAAUAUUAAAUGAUAAACCUCACUUUUUUUAAUUUAAUUUUAUUUUAUGUGUGGUUGUUUAAAUAAAUAAUAAAUUAUAAAUUUAAAAUCAGAUUUUAUGUAAAAAUAAUUAAAAUUAUUUAAUUUACAAUUAUUUAUAUUAUUAGGAUUUGCAUGUAAUAAUUUUUUAAAUAAAAUUAUGAUGAUGUUAUAAAAUGUGUACAUAUUGUCCGUCACUCUCAGAAAU